This 844-nucleotide ribosomal RNA is filed under the name uncultured Aeromonas sp. RNAcentral describes it as "bacterial SSU rRNA". It matches the Rfam family "Bacterial small subunit ribosomal RNA", at positions 555 to 1398 of the family's 1533-position model. Lineage: Bacteria; Pseudomonadati; Pseudomonadota; Gammaproteobacteria; Aeromonadales; Aeromonadaceae. The record is from RNAcentral.
UGGGCGUAAAGCGCACGCAGGCGGUNGGAUAAGUUAGAUGUGAAAGCCCCGGGCUCAACCUGGGAAUUGCAUUUAAAACUGUCCAGCUAGAGUCUUGUAGAGGGGGGUAGAAUUCCAGGUGUAGCGGUGAAAUGCGUAGAGAUCUGGAGGAAUACCGGUGGCGAAGGCGGCCCCCUGGACAAAGACUGACGCUCAGGUGCGAAAGCGUGGGGAGCAAACAGGGUUAGAUACCCUGGUAGUCCACGCCGUAAACGAUGUCGAUUUGGAGGCUGUGUCCUUGAGACGUGGCUUCCGGAGCUAACGCGUUAAAUCGACCGCCUGGGGAGUACGGCCGCAAGGUUAAAACUCAAAUGAAUUGACGGGGGCCCGCACAAGCGGUGGAGCAUGUGGUUUAAUUCGAUGCAACGCGAAGAACCUUACCUGGCCUUGACAUGUCUGGAAUCCUGCAGAGAUGCGGGAGUGCCUUCGGGAAUCAGAACACAGGUGCUGCAUGGCUGUNGUCAGCUCGUGUCGUGAGAUGUUGGGUUAAGUCCCGCAACGAGCGCAACCCCUGUCCUUUGUUGCCAGCACGUAAUGGUGGGAACUCAAGGGAGACUGCCGGUGAUAAACCGGAGGAAGGUGGGGAUGACGUCAAGUCACCAUGGCCCUUACGGCCAGGGCUACACACGUGCUACAAUGGCGCGUACAGAGGGCUGCAAGCUAGCGAUAGUGAGCGAAUCCCAAAAAGCGCGUCGUAGUCCGGAUCGGAGUCUGCAACUCGACUCCGUGAAGUCGGAAUCGCUAGUAAUCGCGAAUCAGAAUGUCGCGGUGAAUACGUUCCCGGGCCUUGUACACACCGCCCGUG